This 816-nucleotide non-coding RNA is filed under the name Drosophila sechellia. Its description in RNAcentral is "Eukaryotic large subunit ribosomal RNA". It matches the Rfam family "Eukaryotic large subunit ribosomal RNA", at positions 1914 to 2315 of the family's 3401-position model. The record is from Rfam by way of RNAcentral. Lineage: Eukaryota; Metazoa; Arthropoda; Insecta; Diptera; Drosophilidae.
UCGGCAAAUUAGAUCCGUAACUUCGGGAUAAGGAUUGGCUCUGAAUAUUGAGAUAGUCGGGCUUGAUUGGGAAACAAUAACAUGGUUUAUGUGCUCGUUCUGGGUAAAUAGAGUUUCUAGCAUUUAUGUUAGUUACUUGUUCCCCGGAUAGUUUAGUUACGUAGCCAAUUGUGGAACUUUCUUACUACAAUUUUUAAGAAUACUAUUUGGGUUAAACCAAUUAGUUCUUAUCAAUUAUAACGAUUAUCAAUUAACAAUCAAUUCAGAACUGGCACGGACUUGGGGAAUCCGACUGUCUAAUUAAAACAAAGCAUUGUGAUGGCCCUAGCGGGUGUUGACACAAUUUGAUUUCUGCCCAGUGCUCUGAAUGUCAAAGUGAAGAAAUUCAAGUAAGCGCGGAUCAACGGCGGGAGUAACUAUGACUCUUUUAAGACAGAGGGGCGAUUAUAAGGAGAAAAUAGAGCAGAUAAGAGGGCAAUCAGCUCUCGUCCCGGAAGUUACUAAUCUAACCAUAAGGCGCCGCCCUAGUACAAGUGAGCAAAACCACCAUGUAACAACAUCGGAAACAACUCCAAUCACUCCCUUCGAACAGUCGAACAGUGAAAUUUUGCGGACACUGCGCGGGUAUAGCCCCGUAGAAUGCCAUUCCAAAUGGAGAGCCCAAGAGUUGCAAACUAUCAUUGAUAGGGCACAGCUCGAGGGAAAGGAAACCACUCUCCAAUGCUUAUCGCUAUAUCUCCUGGGAAUUUUUCCGGAACAGGGUGUACGACACACGCUGACGAGACCUCCUCGGACACCUCGGAAUAGGAGAGAGAA